GUGUGUGCACUUUGGGAGUUAUUUGAGACUUUUGUAAUUGUGUUUUGUCUGUCUUUGAAGGGCACAGAGUUUGGUGGAUAUAUCCAGGUAAUAUUUGUUUCAAGGUGACUUGAAGAACAGCAAUCCAAAUAUUAUUUUCCAAAUUUCUGAAGAGUAUUUCCAUAGAUGCCAGCAUGAUGAAUGUCAUAUGGAAAGAAUGGAUAUCUGUAGAGAUGUGGACCUAAUUUGCUGCUAUUAUUCCCAGCAACCUAGAAGUUCAUUUAUGUUAUUGUAGAAAAUACUCU
RNAcentral lists this long non-coding RNA (284 nucleotides) under Rattus norvegicus (Norway rat). RNAcentral's name for it is "long non-coding RNA NONRATT032125". The record is from RNAcentral. Lineage: Eukaryota; Metazoa; Chordata; Mammalia; Rodentia; Muridae.